UUGAGCACAGUGAGCAUAAUGAGCGUGAGCAUAGUGAGUGAGCACAGACCUUUCCUUCAAAAAUUUCUUCCACGCUUAUUUUUCUCUCUGCGUCUCAUUUUGGUUCAUCGCUUCUCCCAGAGAGCCACAGACCUUUCCUUCAAAAAUCUUUCCAACAGCACCCAACAGUUUCCUCUUCUAUUGUCAUUCUCCCACAUACAGGUUAUCCAUUGUCGCUCGCACACAGAGGUGUCUCAUUGCUCGUUCACGCGAAGGCACACGGCACACACAAAGAAAUCUUCUUCCUGUUGAGGUUGAAAGGCCAGAGAGAUAGAGGAACUCCUUCGGCGCCGGCCAGUGCAGACAAAUACCCACCCACGGUCCCUGCGAGCACCCAACGGAGAAAUUUAGAAUAUACAUGACUCGUACUUGAGGAGGUUCAUCUUCACAUCGCGGAGAGAGUUCGUCACAGGGUGAGAGAUGGAGACCUACUGCAGAAGAAGACAUGGAGCAGUUGAGUCUAAUAUUCAUGUUGAGGACCAUAGAGAUGUGAGGUUUCACGAGGAUGUAGUUGAGGAUCAUGCAUUUGAGGAACAUGAUAUUGAAUAGGAGGAGGAUCAUGAGGAUGUUGCUGAAGGUGGAACGGGAGGAAAUCAAGUUCUCCCAUGGGAAGAAGUUAAACAGAUUAGGAUCCUGCCACGAGGGCAUUAGAGACAUCGUUAAUGGUUCUGGUCUGAUGUCUCUGGUCCGUCUAAGUAUGCAUCCACAUCUUCCCCUAUCGAGUCCAAUAAGAUUUACUCGUUCUAAUUCUUAUGUAUAUCUGGAUACUCGUCGAACAAGUCUUUUGUA
Long non-coding RNA from Vigna angularis (adzuki bean), 828 nucleotides. RefSeq lists it as uncharacterized. Lineage: Eukaryota; Viridiplantae; Streptophyta; Magnoliopsida; Fabales; Fabaceae. The record is from RefSeq and is a predicted model, not a curated record. The transcript has 4 exons.